AGAAUCAACGCUGGCGGCGUGCCUAACACAUGCAAGUCGAACGAGAAAGUGGAGCAAUCCAUGAGUAAAGUGGCGCACGGGUGAGUAACACGUGACUAACCUACCCUUGAGUGGGGGAUAACCUAGGGAAACCUGGGCUAAUACCGCAUAAUACCUUCGGGUCAAAGGAGCAAUUCGCUUAAGGAGGGGGUCGCGGCCGAUUAGUUAGUUGGCGGGGUAAUGGCCCACCAAGACUGUGAUCGGUAUCCGGCCUGAGAGGGCGCACGGACACACUGGAACUGAAACACGGUCCAGACUCCUACGGGAGGCAGCAGUGGGGAAUUUUGCGCAAUGGGGGAAACCCUGACGCAGCAACGCCGCGUGGAGGAUGAAGUCCCUUGGGACGUAAACUCCUUUCGAUCGGGACGAUUAUGACGGUACCGGAAGAAGAAGCCCCGGCUAACUCGUGCCAGCAGCCGC
This 459-nucleotide ribosomal RNA is filed under the name uncultured bacterium. Its description in RNAcentral is "SSU rRNA". It matches the Rfam family "Bacterial small subunit ribosomal RNA", at positions 26 to 518 of the family's 1533-position model. The record is from RNAcentral.